AUUGAACGCUGGCGGCAGGCCUAACACAUGCAAGUCGAGCGGUAACACAGGGAGCUUGCUCCCGGGUGACGAGCGGCGGACGGGUGAGUAAUGUCUGGGAAACUGCCUGAUGGAGGGGGAUAACUACUGGAAACGGUAGCUAAUACCGCAUAAUGUCGCAAGACCAACGAGGGGGACCUUCGGGCCUCUUGCCAUCAGAUGUGCCCAGAUGGGAUUAGCUAGGAGGUGGGGUAACGGCUCACCUAGGCGACGAUCCCUAGCUGGUCUGAGAGGAUGACCAGCCACACUGGAACUGAGACACGGUCCAGACUCCUACGGGAGGCAGCAGUGGGGAAUAUUGCACAAUGGGCGCAAGCCUGAUGCAGCCAUGCCGCGUGUAUGAAGAAGGCCUUCGGGUUGUAAAGUACUUUCAGCGGGGAGGAAGGUGUUGAGGUUAAUAACCUCAGCAAUUGACGUUACCCGCAGAAGAAGCACCGGCUAACUCUGUGCCAGCAGCCGCAGUAA
RNAcentral lists this ribosomal RNA (504 nucleotides) under uncultured bacterium. Its description in RNAcentral is "partial 16S ribosomal RNA". It matches the Rfam family "Bacterial small subunit ribosomal RNA", at positions 30 to 523 of the family's 1533-position model. The record is from RNAcentral.